AAAUAAGUUGAGGAGCAAUUGAAAUAUUUGGUUAUAUUUAGUAUAUAUUGACAAAUGAACUUGAAAAAGAUUCAUCAUAUCAAGCUUACAAGAGUGAAGAAGACCAAAGUUGAAUUCAUAUUAGAAUUAAGAUUUAGUGCAACUCGAUCGUUGAAGCGCUAAACUGAGUGGAGUCGAUGAAACAAUCCACACAAUAGUCUUAACUAGAUUGGGAUUAAAAUUUAGUUGUCAGGGUUGUAAUGUUAAUCUAGUUUAUUAAGUGAUUUAUUGGCAUAUUUUGGAAAUGAUCAAACGAGAAUAU
RNAcentral lists this unclassified non-coding RNA (301 nucleotides) under Hevea brasiliensis (rubber tree). Lineage: Eukaryota; Viridiplantae; Streptophyta; Magnoliopsida; Malpighiales; Euphorbiaceae. The record is from RNAcentral.